AUGAUUCCAAUUCUAAUAAGUAUUUUUCUUAUCCCAAGUAGACUGAUUUUACUUGAUUUUAUUCUUAUCCCAAUUACUGCUACUCUUUGCUUAUUCCCUUACAGAAAUCUUUUUCCAGUACUAUUAGUCCCAAUAUUUUGUAUGCACUUCCACAAGUCUAAUAUUCAUUUCAUUUACAUUACAGAGUUGUAUUGCCUAGUUUGGUACCUCUUGUUGGCAUGUAAUUUAGAAAUUCAGAUGAGGCUUGGGCAUUUUGGCUUACCUACAGUGGACAGAAAGGAUCUGAGGUCAGAAAAAGGUAUACAAACAAGAGGCCAACCGAUGGCAAAGUUACAUCAUGUAGAUUUGUUUGUGCAUGUAGUGGUGCUGGACAAGUUGCAGAUGUUAUAG
Molecule: ribosomal RNA, 390 nt
Filed under: Triticum aestivum (bread wheat)
Lineage: Eukaryota; Viridiplantae; Streptophyta; Magnoliopsida; Poales; Poaceae
Description: partial small subunit ribosomal RNA
Source: RNAcentral